This 24-nucleotide microRNA is filed under the name Vriesea carinata. Its description in RNAcentral is "vca-miR10203-3p". Lineage: Eukaryota; Viridiplantae; Streptophyta; Magnoliopsida; Poales; Bromeliaceae. The record is from miRBase by way of RNAcentral.
GGAUCGGAAUGCUUCUAAUAGCAC